This 253-nucleotide ribosomal RNA is filed under the name uncultured bacterium. RNAcentral describes it as "partial 16S ribosomal RNA". It matches the Rfam family "Bacterial small subunit ribosomal RNA", at positions 524 to 776 of the family's 1533-position model. The record is from RNAcentral.
UACAGAGGUCCCAAGCGUUGUUCGGAUUCACUGGGCGUAAAGGGUGCGUAGGUGGUCGGGUAAGUCCGAUGUGAAAUCUCCAGGCUCAACCUGGAAAUGGCAUUGGAUACUAUCCGGCUUGAGGAGUGGAGGGGGGACUGGAAUUCUCGGUGUAGCAGUGAAAUGCGUAGAGAUCGGAAAGAACACCAACGGCGAAAGCACUCUGCUGGGCCGACACUGACACUGAGAGACGAAAGCUAGGGGAGCGAAUGGG